ACCCUAACUGAGGGCAUUUAUUGGAUAUAUGAAAAGAUAAGUGCUCUCUGUGGGGUGA
Molecule: microRNA precursor, 58 nt
Filed under: Sarcophilus harrisii (Tasmanian devil)
Lineage: Eukaryota; Metazoa; Chordata; Mammalia; Dasyuromorphia; Dasyuridae
Description: Sha-Mir-430-o15_pre stem-loop
Source: RNAcentral